Girardinichthys multiradiatus is the source of this 428-nucleotide long non-coding RNA. RefSeq lists it as uncharacterized. The record is from RefSeq and is a predicted model, not a curated record. NCBI's taxonomy places the organism in Eukaryota, Metazoa, Chordata, Actinopteri, Cyprinodontiformes, Goodeidae. The transcript has 3 exons.
GGAGUAUUUAAGCAGGAGGCUGCCAGCACUUUGAUGCCAGAGUGUUUGCCUUCAGUGGCAGAAACCUGAAUCUUUUGAUUAUCUUCGUUGAACACUGACUUCGGUUCCAGAAGUUUCUGGACGAUCAAGAUUAUCUACGUUAUGUGGAUUUCGUUUGGAUUUUGUUUCCAAGGACCAAGUUGGCAGCUUCCUGUUUUCGUCAGUCUCCUGAACCAAGGCAUAAGUGUACCCUGUCCACCCUCCAACGCAAGUUCCUGAACAAGGAACUCACCAGAACUCAUUCUACAACUCAAGAAAAACCAUCUGGAUUUAUCUGCUUCGCACACCUGGACCCCGAUCCCCUCUACCCCUGGUGACCUGACUGCACUUGUUUAUUGGCGAUUCACCCGUUCCAGACUCAGUUGCUGUUAAUAAACACCUUUCACUGA